Molecule: long non-coding RNA, 315 nt
Organism: Echinops telfairi (small Madagascar hedgehog)
Lineage: Eukaryota; Metazoa; Chordata; Mammalia; Afrosoricida; Tenrecidae
Exons: 2
Source: RefSeq, a predicted model, not a curated record
CCGACUGGGGUGGGGAGAGGGGCACCCCCAGCCCUUCUGCCCUCAUCAUUCGUCCUCUGGCACCCGAAUUCCCCUUUCCGCCUUUCCUCCAACAAGCAGGCAAGCUCUCGAGGGGUCCCUCCACCCCCGUCGGGCCCUCGGGCGCCCCACGGCGAGGAAGAUGCAUCUGACCCCGAGCUUGACCUCAUCUCUGAGAGGGCAAAGUGACAAUAUGAAAGGAACCCAAGUGCCUGCUGGAGAAGGUGAAGUUGAGCUGCCUGCCAUCCUAGACCCCUCCCUUCCAGCCGACUGUGAGAAAUAAACGUCUGUUUCUGA